RNAcentral lists this ribosomal RNA (497 nucleotides) under uncultured bacterium. RNAcentral describes it as "partial 16S ribosomal RNA". It matches the Rfam family "Bacterial small subunit ribosomal RNA", at positions 28 to 507 of the family's 1533-position model. The record is from RNAcentral.
GAUGAACGCUGGCGGCGUGCCUAAUACAUGCAAGUCGAGCGAACGGACGAGAAUCUUGCUUCUCUGAUGUUAGCGGCGGACGGGUGAGUAACACGUGGAUAACCUACCUAUAAGACUGGGAUAACUUCGGGAAACCGGAGCUAAUACCGGAUAAUAUUUUGAACCGCAUGGUUCAAAAGUGAAAGACGGUCUUUCUGUCACUUAUAGAUGGAUCCGCGAUGCAUUAGCUAGUUGGUAAGGUAACGGCUUACCAAGGCAACGAUGCAUAGCCGACAUGAGAGGGGGAUCGGCCACACUGGAACUGAGAAACGGAACAGACAACUACGGGAGGAAGCAGUAGGGAAUAUUCCGCAAUGGGCGAAAGCAUGACGGAGCAACGCCGCGUGAGAGAUGAAGGUCUACGGAUCGUAAAACUCUGUUAUUAGGGAAGAACAUAUGUGUAAGUAACUGUGCACAGAUUGACGGUACCUAAUCAGAAAGCCACGGCUAACUACGUG